This is a long non-coding RNA of Gymnodraco acuticeps, 501 nucleotides long. RefSeq lists it as uncharacterized. NCBI's taxonomy places the organism in Eukaryota, Metazoa, Chordata, Actinopteri, Perciformes, Bathydraconidae. The transcript has 4 exons. The record is from RefSeq and is a predicted model, not a curated record.
GUCACAUGACCGGUGACCGAGUAAACAGGAAGCCAUAAAAAGUUUGCCGUCAGUUCAAGAAAGUCUCUCUUGGCUGCUUGUCACUGGUCUUCUCCCUCUCACAAAGGGCGAGUGCAAGACGAGAGUUUACCAUUGACGGAGGAAAACUCUCCCGACAGGCACAAGACCGGAGCUUAAUGUACACAACCGGCCCAGCUACCCGGGAUAUUAAGUGACCAUUUCCCCGGCAGGAUUAAGCCGAGUUGGAAACCUACUCUGUGGAAGUUGCGCUCCUCUGCGGCGUAGGCCUGGGCCCGGGUGGAAUGCUGCCUGCCUUCAGUGUAGGGACUGCACGGUGUGACACUUUAUUUUCUGUAUGCUAAAUAUCUCACUGUUAUUAUUUUAUAGAGAUUGUGGUUUAAAUAUUGCAUGCUUAUGUUGUUUUGGUGUGUGGCUUUUCUUGUUUUUGUCCCUCACGAUUAGCAGGCACUGCAACCCAGCGGACCGGGCCUGCCCAACUGA